This 253-nucleotide ribosomal RNA is filed under the name uncultured bacterium. RNAcentral describes it as "partial 16S ribosomal RNA". It matches the Rfam family "Bacterial small subunit ribosomal RNA", at positions 524 to 776 of the family's 1533-position model. The record is from RNAcentral.
UACGAAGGGUGCAAGUGUUACUCGGAAUUACUGGGCGUAAAGCGUGCGUAGGUGGUUGUUUAAGUCUGUUGUGAAAGCCCUGGGCUCAACCUGGGAACUGCAGUGGAAACUGGACAACUAGAGUGUGGUAGAGGGUAGCGGAAUUCCCGGUGUAGCAGUGAAAUGCGUAGAGAUCGGGAGGAACAUCCAUGGCGAAGGCAGCUACCUGGACCAACACUGACACUGAGGCACGAAAGCGUGGGGAGCAAACAGG